Molecule: ribosomal RNA, 253 nt
Filed under: uncultured bacterium
Lineage: Bacteria
Description: partial 16S ribosomal RNA
Rfam family: Bacterial small subunit ribosomal RNA
Source: RNAcentral
GACAGAGGGUGCAAACGUUGUUCGGAAUUACUGGGCGUAAAGCGCGUGUAGGCGGCCCUGCAAGUCGGAUGUGAAAUCCCACGGCUCAACCGUGGAAGUGCAUUCGAAACUGCAGGGCUGGAGUCCUGGAGAGGAAGGUGGAAUGCUUGGUGUAGAGGUGAAAUUCGUAGAUAUCAAGCGGAACACCGGUGGCGAAGGCGGCCUUCUGGACAGUGACUGACGCUGAGACGCGAAAGCGUGGGGAGCAAACAGG